This 497-nucleotide ribosomal RNA is filed under the name uncultured bacterium. Its description in RNAcentral is "partial 16S ribosomal RNA". It matches the Rfam family "Bacterial small subunit ribosomal RNA", at positions 28 to 507 of the family's 1533-position model. The record is from RNAcentral.
GAUGAACGCUGGCGGCGUGCCUAAUACAUGCAAGUCGAGCGAACGGACGAGACUCUUUCUUCUCUUAUGUUAGCGGCGGACGGGUGAUUAACACGUGUAUAACCUACCUUUAAGACUGGGAUCACUUCGGGAAACCGGAUCUAAUAUCGGAUAAUAUUUUGAACCGCAUGGUUCAUCAGUGAAAGACGGUCUUGCUGUCACUAAUAGAUGUAUCCGCGCUGCAUUAGCUAGUUGGUAAGGUAACGGCUUACCAAGGCAACGAUGCAUAGCUGAUCUGAGAGGGUGAUCGGCCACACUGGAACUGAGACACGGUCCAGACUCCUACGGGAGGCAGCAGUAGGGAAUCUUGCGCAAUGGGCGAAAGCCUGACGGAGCAACGCCGCGUGUGUGAAGAAGGUCUUCGGAUCGUAAAGCACUGUUAUUAGGGAAGAACAGAUGUGUGAGAAAAUGUGCACAUCUUGACGGUACCUAAACAGAAAGCCACGGCUAACUACGUG